AAAGAUCGAUUUAAAAAGAGUUAUGCAUAAAUAAAUUUCAAGAAAAAUAGAGUUGUAUAAUGUAAGAGAUAAGAAAUGAGAGAACACUAAAGAGAAGAAGAAGAAGAAACAACUCUGAAAAUGUAUUAUUGAUAUUCUGAUUUACAAGGAGGAUCAAAGUCCUUUAUAUAGAGAGGGAAAGAGAGGAUUCCAGAACUAAUAAACUUUCUAACAAACUCUAACUAAGAGUAACUAACAAACUGCACUCGUGAUCAGUGAAUAACUAGAUCACUUCUAAUAUACGCCCCUGAAUCCAAGACUCCUCAGGUGAUUCAGAACUUGAUUAAUUUGCUGAGUUGUAGUCUUGAAUUCUUAACUGAUUCCUGAGAGUGAUGAAUUGAGUGUUAGGUAGAGGCUUUUUGAAGAUGUCAGCAGUUUGAAAUUCUGAGGGAAUGUGUCUGACAAUAAGUGUCUUGCUUUGUAUUUUGUCUCUGACAAAGUACAAAUCUAGUUCAAUAUGCUUGGUACGGUUGUGUAAUACAGGAUUGUGAGACAUAACUACUGUGCUUGAGUUGUCAUAGAAAAAAACAGGAGUGUGAUAGGUGAUUUGCAUUUCUUUGAGCAGAGACUCAAACCACAUAAUCUCUUGAGAAGUCAAGGCUAAGCUUCUAUACUCUGCCUCUAUGCUGGAUCUAGAUAUAGUACGUUGUUUCUUUGACCACCAGGUGACAACAUUAGGACCCAAGUAGAGACAAGCUCCCGACGUAGACUUUCUAUCAUCAAUGUUUGAGGCCCAAUCAACAUCACAGAAAGCUGUGAUGGAUAGAUUGGAUGAAUGUCCAGCAGGUUUUAUUGUUAAUCCCAUAUUCCGAGUUCCUUGGAGAUAUCUAAGGAUCCUUUUUACUGCUGUCCAGUGAGAAUUGCAAGGUUUGUCAAGAAAUUGACACACCUUGUUCACACAGUAGGUGAUGUCUGGUCUGGUGACAAUGGCAUAUUGUAGGGCACCAACAAUGGAUCUGUAGAAAGUAGGAUCUUCAGAGAAGUCAGUACCAUGCUUAGUUAGUUUACAAUUGUUAGCUAUAGGUGUAGGAAGAGACUUAGAGGUAGAGAGAUUAGCCCUUUCAAGAAGAUCAUUGAUGUAUUUAGCUUGAGAGAGAAAUCGCGACCCAUUCUUUUGGUGUUUAACUUGAAUACCAAGAAAGUAGUCCAGAGGCCCUAGUUGUUUGAGAGAAAAAGUUGAACUCAAUUCCUUGAUGAGAUUUUGAACAUGGAAGGAUGAUGAUCCAAUAACAAUUAUGUCAUCAACAUAUACCAAAACAUACAGUUUGUAGGUUUUAGAGGUAUGAAUGAAAAGAGAAUUAUCACAUUUGCUAAUUUGAAAAUCAAGCUUGACCAAGGAACCUUUUAACCUUUCAAACCAUUGCCUUGGAGCCUGUUUUAGACCAUAGAUGGCUCUGUGUAGUUUGCACACAAGAGAUUUGUUCUUGUUUUGAAAUCCUGAUGGCAGAUUCAUGUAGACUUCUUCAUCAAGAAUGCCAUUUAAAAAGGCAUUAUUAAUGUCAAGUUGUUCAAUCAUCCAUUGAUGAGUGAUAGAAAGUGUAAGAAGUACCCUGAUUGUGAUUGGCUUGACAACUAGAGAGAAUGUUUCAUUGUAAUCUACCCCUUGCUUUUGAUGAAAACCCUUUGCAACCAACCUAGCUUUGUACUUAUUGAUUGUUCCAUCUGGAUUUUCUUUGACUUUAAAAACCUAUUUGCACCCAAUUGCUCUCUUGUGAGGUGGUAGAGGCAUUAGAGACCAUGUUCCCAAUUUAAUGAGGGCAUCAUAUUCUGAUUGCAUUGCUUGCUGCCAUUGAGGAAUAACUAAGGCAGCUUUGACACUGACUGGUUCAGAGUGAACCAUACGAACUCUUGGAUAUAGAGUUCUGAAUAUCCCUGAUUUUGAUCUUGUUUGCAUGGGAUGAGAGGAUAGAGGAGGAGAAGCAAUUGUUAAGGGUGAGUGGUUUGCAGAGGAGGAAGUAGAGUCAUCUGGGUCUAGUGUGUGAUUGGUGGUUAGUGAGGGAGUUUGAGAAUUAGGGGAUGAGAGGAGAAUAGGCGAAUUCUGUAAAGGUGAAGAACCAGAAUUAUGUGUGUACUCAGAAGUUGCUCUGGAGAGAAUGUCAGCGUCAUGAAAAUUGAAUAUGGGAGAAAAAUGACAUCCAUUAAGGAAUGAAGAUGAAUGCUUAUCACCACUGUUGGACUGAUUCUUACCUUUGACAGCAAAGGGAAAAAUAUUCUCAUUAAAAGUAACAUCUUUUGAAAUGUAGAUCUUUCCAUCAUGUGACAUGCACUUGUAGCCUUUGUGACUAGAGGAGUAGCCAAGGAAGGUGCAUUCUGAACUUCUGGGUUGAAGUUUAUGUUUAGUAUAGGGCCUGAGAAGAGGAAAGUAGGCACAACCAAAAACCUUGAAUAGCGUGUAAUCUGGUGGAUGACUGAAAAGUAGUUCAUGAGGGGAUUUGUUGUUGAGAGAAAUUGAUGGUAGUCUAUUAAUGAGGAAAACAAUUGUUGUAAAGGCAUGAUCCCAAAGAUUCGAGGGAAGAUGAGCAUGAGCAAGUAGAGUUAUUCCAGUUUUCACAACAUGCCUAUGUUUUCUUUCAACAGUUCCUUGUUGGUGAUGAGUGUGAGGACAAGAAAUUCUAUGAACAAUCCCAUGACUUUGGAGAAAUUUGGUAAAUGGACGAAAUUCACCCCCAUAGUCACUCUGGAUAGCUUUAAUAGUGACUUGAAAUUGAGUUUGAACAUAGGUUAAGAAGUACUGAAACAGUGAGAGUGUUUCAGAUUUCUGUUUGAGUAAGAAAAUCCAUGUAUGUCGAGUGUGGGCAUCCACAAUGGAGAAGUAAUACCUGAAUCCUGUUUGAGAAUGAACAGGUGCAGGUCCCCAUAGAUCAACAUAGACUAAGUCAAAAGGAGAUUUGUAAACAGUAGAAGAAUUUGCAGAGUGAAUUCUAUGUGAUUUACCAAUGCAACAAGAUGAACAGAAAUCAAACACAGUUUUAUUAUUGUGUAAGAUUUUACAAUUCUUCAAAAUCUCAUCUCUCUCCACAUCCUUAAUCACCAAAAUCUUAGCCUUAGCAAGAUAAUGCAAAGAUAAAUCAGUAACAGCAUCCCUCAAAAUACUCUUUUGAAUCAGAAGCACAUUACAACCAGUUCCCUUAAUCUUCUUAAUCAUACCAAGGAUAUAACUUCUCUCUUCCUUCAAAAUCCUAUCCAUCUGAGAAUAAUCAGACACUACAAUACUCUGUUCGAUAUCAGUUUUUGGCGGCGAAAUCUGAAACUGAAUCACACCAAUUUUAGCAUUUUCCAUUCUGGUAGGUCCACCAGCAGCAUGACUUACCUUCUUAUCAAAGCACAAACCCUUCACUAGCUCCGUAUCAUCGACUGUGCCGCCGAGCUUCUUCACGAUCCUAAUAUCACGAAGAUCAACCUGCUCGGGUUUCUCCGGGUCCACGACAAAAGUGACAGCGUCGACGGCAAGGGGAGCAAGUAAUGUGGAGUAUUGACUAACGACCUUACUGUUAAGUGAAGUGCUUGCGGAUUUCACGAGCGAUUCGCGGUCGGAGAGUUCAACGGGUACUGCCAUAGCGGCGAGAAUAUCGGUGGCUUUGACAGCGGCUUUGUGGAGGGCAUCAGAGACGACGGUAGGGUGGAUGCCGCGGGUGAGGAGGACGCGGCAGCUGUCAAGCAAAGCGCCAGCAAUCACAACAACCGUGGUGGUUCCAUCUCCGGCAGCGGCGUCUUGCGAUUUCGAAAGAUCAACGAGCAUCUUCGCGGCGGGUUGGAGGAGUUGCAUGUUGUUGAGAAUGGUGGCGCCGUCGUUUGUGAUGAUAACGUCACCGGAGGAUGUGGAGAUCAUCUUGUCCAUACCCUUGGGGCCGAGGCUGGUGCGAACGGCGUCGGCGACGGAUUUCGCGGCGGCGAUGUUAACAUGACGGAUGUCCUCCUUGCGCUUGUUGUCGACGUAGGAUUCAGUCUUGGAAGAUCGGGGUUGAGGAACUGCGAUUGCCGCCAUUUAUGAAGAGAUCGUAGAAUUCGAAAUUUGAAACCCUAACUUUCUUUUAGAGAGAGAGAGUGUGGUGUUGAAGUGUUCUUAUUAGUGCUUUUAGAAACUCAAGUAUGUUGAGAAAACACUACACAAUGUUCCAACUUCCAAGGGGUUGUUGCUACUUCUUGCUGGAUUUGGGCCCAUAUAUAUUUGGGCCAAUGCUCAUCAUUUAGUUUCUUUUAUUGGAGAUACUUCUAUGGAACAAGUUAUUUUAAUUUUCGACUAAGUUUUUAAAAUCUUAUAAAUACUUAAAGAUAAAAUACGAACAAGGUAUUGGUCUCGCAGUGUAAGACUCCGCUACAUCUUCAGGGUGAUCAAUAAAUCAAAGUUUCAAUUCUUGUAAAUGACACUUAUUGAAAUGGACAAUCAUACAUCUUGAAAAAGAUUAAUUUUCUAUCAUACCAACGCCUUAUUAGUAAUAAAUAACUCCACAAUAUUUAUAACAACCUUUUUUUCACUUUUAGAAAAUCAAGUAGGCAGAAGUGAAGGUUCUGAAUAUUUAAGGAUGUUGGUGAUCUAAUGAAGGUGUAUAAGUCCCACUACAUUGAUUCAACUACCUACAAUUGUAUGCCUUCAUCUAUUGUAUAAGAGUUCAUUUUGUUUGAAGUAAAGUUAAGGCAGAGGAUACUCAUGUCACUAAAUAGAUUGAAUGUUCAUUAUAUGUUAAUAAUCAAUUGUGAGAAUGUAUAACGUCAAAAAAUAUAUUUCGACAAACAAGAUGAAGUACAUAAUAAAAAGUAAAAUUCAAAAAUUAUAAAAAAAAUGUACAAACUAAAAGUAGUAUUAUAUACGCUGGUGUGUUGACAGACAUUGCUAUAUUUAUCAGCUUUGUAAUGUGUAGUCUAGAUACUAUAAAUGUCAAAUAUAGUAAAUUAUGUUAGAUAUUGUAAUUUACAGUUAAAUAUAUUCAAUUUGGGUAAUUACUUGAUCUUAUUUUUUUAAAAUGAACAUUCUAUUUUAAAUUUGCAGUUGACUAUAAAGGCAUUUAAUUAUAUACAUACAUUUAUAUUCCAUCAAAAUUAUAAAGACACUUUUAAUUUAUUAAUUAGUGGAGUUACACUUUACUGCAUUUAAAAAAUAAUGAAGAUAAUAGUUUUCAACAUAAGAGAAUAAAUUAAUUGAUAAACUAUAUUGCAUUGGUUUGUAACUGCCUAAAUUGGUAUUUGAACAUUAGGUAUAUGAUUAAUUUAGUAAUAAGGACAAAAUAAGAAUAUAAAAGUUAUAUUAGUUCAAUUACCUAAAUAUUUUUUAGGCAUAUUUUAUCUUUAUACAGAAGUAUGGAUAUAUAUAUAUAUAUAUAUAUAUAUAUGUAUAAAUAGAACAAUUAAUGACCAAAAAAUAUAUUUUUUACACCCUCUAUUUCUAUUUAAUGUUGUUUAAAUCUCUUAUUAGUCACUAACAAAUUCUGUACUGAUAUCUACAACCAUAUCAUUCUCUUUAGGAAGUUAUUGGUCAUACAAAUGAGUUUGAAUGAGUUUUGAUAGUGCAUUACUCGAACUCGUUUCGUUAUUUCAUUUUUGGAUUUAAACCCACUUCAUAUCUAUACUGAUUCAUGUUGAGUCUGCUAUCUAUGAGUCUUUGCGUACUUGUUGGAUAUAUAAUACCCACAAAUUUAAAAAACAUUAUAAAAUAUUUCCGAGUAAUUUAUGUAAUUAUGUAUUUGUUUCUUACAAUUUUAUAUGUUAUUAGGUAAUCAACGAGAGAGAAAACUAUAAAACAUAUUUAAAGUUUUAAACACAUUUUAAAUUUACUAUUUUAACAUUGUGAAGUAAAAUUGAUCUAGUAAGAAUUAAUCAAUCAACAAAAUAUUAUAUUAUACAUAUAAAUUAACAUCAUAAUAUCACAUCACUACUUAAUAAUAUACAUAACAACCUAACAAUACUUUAGUGGAUGCGGGUAGCCGUAGGUCUAGAUAUCUCAAUUAUCUACGAGUCCAAAAACAUGAAGCCAAACCCAUUACAAAUAUUUUUUAGAUAAGUUUGUAUUUAAAAUUGAUGAAGAUACACAUAUUUAUCUUAAUUGAUUGUUAUAAAACAAUAAAUCACUUUGUAUCAUAUUACCUUGAAUUUCAGUUUGAAUGAGUCUUCAUCACAGCUAAACUCAUUUCGAAUCUGUCUCCUCUUACAUGUUUUACACGUUUUGUUGUGUUCCUUUCACGAUGUCUCUUUAGGAAUGAAUUAAUUUAUUCCAAAUUUUAUCUCCUAUAUUAUCAUAGGUAAAUUAAAAAAUUUGAACAUUCAUUAUUUUAAUUUUAUUAUUAUUGGUAUCUCAUAGUACAUCUUUGUUCCUGGGGAACCUCCUCAUCAAAGUUAUUAUUGUUCUUUGAAAACUUGAUUCCAUUCCAUCUCAUUAUAUUUCUUGAUUUAUGUUCUCACUCUAUUAAAUACAUAACUAGUAUAGACCUGAAUUAUUUAUAUCCUUGCAUAACAUCAAUCAUUGUUCCAUUUAAUAUUGCUAUUUUGUCCCUAUCAUGUCUAUGAUUUGUCAUUAUUAUAUAUAUAUAUAUCCUAGUUGCAAAAUGCAAACCAAACUCUUAGGCACAUUAUAUUGUCAAUGCUACAUAACUAACAAAAACAAUGUAUGGCUAAGAAUUGAAAGAGAUAAACAUGGAGAGAGAACACCAAAUUGCAACACUCAAAUCUCCAUUGAUUGAAAACUCAGGAGAAGAUAGAUUCAUAGUUGAUGAUGAAGAACAUAACAAGUCAAAUGGUAUAGGAGAUAGAACAGAAAUCAUUGAAGAAGUGAAGAAACAGUUAUGGCUAGCAGGACCUUUGAUAUCUGUGAGCCUCUUAAAUUAUUGCCUACAAGUUAUAUCUGUUAUGUUUGUAGGACAUCUUGGGGAAUUGGCUCUUUCUGGAGCUUCCAUGGCCACUUCUUUUGCCUCUGUCACAGGUUUCAGCUUAUUGGUGAGUUCAGUUUAUUGGAUACUCCGCUCAAAAGACUAGUCAUCCAGGGAAAUUGUCCAAGUUAUUAUAAAUGAUUCAUCGUCUCAAGUAUAAUUUUUUUUACUUGGUAGUUAUAAGUGACCUAACAUUGUUAUUAUAUUAGAAUAAUUAGGCCUAACUUGAUAAAUCACUAGAUGCUUUGUCCAACUUAUUAUGACUAAUGCAUAUGCUAUAAUAUCAUUAUAGUAUAUAAGCUCUAAUACAUCCAACUCCACCCCAAAAGUCAAUAUACAUAAAGAAUAUGGUCCAAUACACGAGGCUUCCACUUAGUAAGGUUUGGGAGGGUAGAUGUAUGUAGCCUUACCCUACAAGUGGAAAGACCUUUUCCACAAUUUAAACCUAUGACCAUCAUGGUCACUAAGCAACAACCUUACCAUUACGUCAACUGCACCCUCAAUUUCAUUUUUUCCACGAUUUGAACCUGUGACUUUGUAAGGAAGCAUUGUAUAAUGGUGUUUGUUCUGAUCUUAUCUAUUAUUGGCUUUUCAUUUUUGGUUAAACCAGAUGGGAUUGGCAAGUGCCUUGGACACCCUAUGUGGCCAAUCAUAUGGAGCAAAGCAGCACAGAAUGUUAGGCAUACAAAUGCAAAGAGCCAUGUUCAUUCUUAUGCUUGUGAGCAUUCCACUUUCAUUCAUUUGGGCAAACACAAGAUCCAUUCUACUUUUCCUUGGCCAAGAUCCUGAAAUAUCAACAGAAGCUGGAAACUAUGCACAACUAAUGGUUCCAACCAUUUUUGCCUAUGGCCUUCUUCAGUGCUUCAACAGAUUCUUACAAACGCAAAAUAUUGUAUUUCCGAUGAUGUUAUUUGCAGGAUUGACAACUUUACUGCAUAUUCUUGUAUGUUGGUUUAUGGUAUUCAAGUCUGGACUUGGAGGCAGAGGCGCCGCCUUAGCGAAUUCGAUAUCUUACUGGGUUAAUGUUUUGAUGCUCUCACUCUAUGUCAAGUUUUCUCCUUCAUGUAAAGAAACUUGGACAGGGUUUUCCAAAGAGGCAUUGCAAAAUAUCCCUCAAUUUCUCUUGCUUGCUAUACCUUCAGCAGUUAUGGUUUGGUAAUUACAUUCACUAAUAUUUUGAUCACACCUAUUACAGUAUAUCAAUAUUUAGUGUUUUGAUACUUUUCUUAACAUUUGUAUCCUUCAAAUUCUGAGAUCUUAAUGUUUUUUAUGCUGAAAAGCUUGGAAAUGUGGUCAUUUGAAUUGAUGGUUCUACUUUCUGGUCUUCUUCCAAAUCCGAAGUUGGAAACAUCAGUACUUUCUGUCUGGUAUGUUUCAUAUUUGAGAUACUUUUCACACACUUUGAUAUAAAUACUUGACAUGAUUAUUUUCAUCAAUCUGUUGUGGGUUUUUGUCAGCUUGAAUACAGCUGCAACUGUUUGGAUGAUCCCUUUUGGACUCAGUGGAGCUGUAAGGUUAGUUUCUCUUAUAACCAGCUAUUCAAAUUACGAACCACAUUACCUGAUGCAGCCGCAGUAGUACAGUUGCAUCACACUAUGAUUACAAUAUGACACCAAAUAACAAUGAUGUGGUUGUAUCUUGCCACAGUGCAACUGUAUUUGGGCUGCAUCAGGUGGCAUCAGACUGCAUCGAAUUCAAUACUAUUUUUUUAUUUACAAAAUAAUUCACAACGCAGCAGCUGCAAUUUGUAUCGCAAUGGCCACAGUAACUACAAUCGCACUGCAGUGACCGCAAUAUAAACACGGCUUAUGAUGUUUUACAAUUCAGUGGCAACUCUAACUUUUUGCACAAGUAAAUAUAUGCUAAGCAUCCUGAUAUUUUCCUAAUUUGUAUGUUGAAAAGUUUCCCUUGCUUUUGUAUAUAGUUCAAUCAUGUUCCUUCAUUCUUGCAGCACUCGUAUCUCAAAUGAACUUGGAGCUGGUAAUCCGAAAGCUGCACGUUUAGCAGUGUUUGUUGUCUUAGCAAUGACAUUGAUUGUGGCCAUCAUAGUUGGAACGGUGAUAAUACUAAUACGCAAUGUUUGGGGAUAUGCAUAUAGUGAUGAAGUAGAAGUGGUCAAAUAUGUAGCAAUUAUGAUGCCAAUUCUUGCAACAUCCAAUUUUCUGGAUUCAUUUCAAUGUGUUCUUUCAGGUUUUUUCAUGUUACCCAUUUCUUCCAUUUAUUUUGUAAAUAAUAUCGACAGGUUGUUGCUUAAUAACCAUAAGGUCACCGUAAGAAAUAAGGAAUAGGAGAGUUCAGAAGAAGAGAAUGAGAAUAAGGUAAAUCAGAAAUUGUAUUAUUGAUAUUGUAAUUUACAAAGAGGAGAUGACAGACUAAACAACUUCCGUAAUCAAUUAAUAACCAGAGCACUUCUAAUAUACCCCCUGAAUCCAAGGCUCCUCAAGAGAUGAAGAACUAGUUAAUCUGCUGAGUUGUAGUCUUGAAUUCUUAACUGAUUCCUGAGAGUGAUGAAUUGAGUGUUAGGUAGAGGCUUUUUGAAGAUGUCAGCAGUUUGAAAUUCUGAGGGAAUGUGUCUGACAAUAAGUGUCUUGCUUUGUAUUUUGUCUCUGACAAAGUACAAAUCUAGUUCAAUAUGCUUGGUACGGUUGUGUAAUACAGGAUUGUGAGACAUAACUACUGUGCUUGAGUUGUCAUAGAAAAAAACAGGAGUGUGAUAGGUGAUUUGCAUUUCUUUGAGCAGAGACUCAAACCACAUAAUCUCUUGAGAAGUCAAGGCUAAGCUUCUAUACUCUGCCUCUAUGCUGGAUCUAGAUAUAGUACGUUGUUUCUUUGACCACCAGGUGACAACAUUAGGACCCAAGUAGAGACAAGCUCCCGACGUAGACUUUCUAUCAUCAAUGUUUGAGGCCCAAUCAACAUCACAGAAAGCUGUGAUGGAUAGAUUGGAUGAAUGUCCAGCAGGUUUUAUUGUUAAUCCCAUAUUCCGAGUUCCUUGGAGAUAUCUAAGGAUCCUUUUUACUGCUGUCCAGUGAGAAUUGCAAGGUUUGUCAAGAAAUUGACACACCUUGUUCACACAGUAGGUGAUGUCUGGUCUGGUGACAAUGGCAUAUUGUAGGGCACCAACAAUGGAUCUGUAGAAAGUAGGAUCUUCAGAGAAGUCAGUACCAUGCUUAGUUAGUUUACAAUUGUUAGCUAUAGGUGUAGGAAGAGACUUAGAGGUAGAGAGAUUAGCCCUUUCAAGAAGAUCAUUGAUGUAUUUAGCUUGAGAGAGAAAUCGCGACCCAUUCUUUUGGUGUUUAACUUGAAUACCAAGAAAGUAAUCCAGAGGCCCUAGUUGUUUGAGAGCAAAUGUUGAACUCAAUUCCUUGAUGAGAUUUUGAACAUGGAAGGAUGAUGACCCAGUAACAAUUAUGUCAUCAACAUAUACCAAAACAUACAGUUUGUAGGUUUUAGAGGUAUGAAUGAAAAGAGAAUUAUCACAUUUGCUAAUUUGAAAAUCAAGCUUGACCAAGGAACCUUUUAACCUUUCAAACCAUUGCCUUGGAGCCUGUUUUAGACCAUAGAUGGCUCUGUGUAGUUUGCACACAAGAGAUUUGUUCUUGUUUUGAAAUCCUGAUGGCAGAUUCAUGUAGACUUCUUCAUCAAGAAUGCCAUUUAAAAAGGCAUUAUUAAUGUCAAGUUGUUCAAUCAUCCAUUGAUGAGUGAUAGAAAGUGUAAGAAGUACCCUGAUUGUGAUUGGCUUGACAACUAGAGAGAAUGUUUCAUUGUAAUCUACCCCUUGCUUUUGAUGAAAACCCUUUGCAACCAACCUAGCUUUGUACUUAUUGAUUGUUCCAUCUGGAUUUUCUUUGACUUUAAAAACCUAUUUGCACCCAAUUGCUCUCUUGUGAGGUGGUAGAGGCAUUAGAGACCAUGUUCCCAAUUUAAUGAGGGCAUCAUAUUCUGAUUGCAUUGCUUGCUGCCAUUGAGGAAUAACUAAGGCAGCUUUGACACUGACUGGUUCAGAGUGAACCAUACGAACUCUUGGAUAUAGAGUUCUGAAUAUCCCUGAUUUUGAUCUUGUUUGCAUGGGAUGAGAGGAUAGAGGAGGAGAAGCAAUUGUUAAGGGUGAGUGGUUUGCAGAGGAGGAAGUAGAGUCAUCUGGGUCUAGUGUGUGAUUGGUGGUUAGUGAGGGAGUUUGAGAAUUAGGGGAUGAGAGGAGAAUAGGCGAAUUCUGUAAAGGUGAAGAACCAGAAUUAUGUGUGUACUCAGAAGUUGCUCUGGAGAGAAUGUCAGCGUCAUGAAAAUUGAAUAUGGGAGAAAAAUGACAUCCAUUAAGGAAUGAAGAUGAAUGCUUAUCACCACUGUUGGACUGAUUCUUACCUUUG
This 11263-nucleotide long non-coding RNA is filed under the name Lupinus angustifolius (narrow-leaved blue lupine). RNAcentral describes it as "long non-coding RNA (LANG_LNC000365)". The record is from RNAcentral. Lineage: Eukaryota; Viridiplantae; Streptophyta; Magnoliopsida; Fabales; Fabaceae.